AUGGCCGCCGCCGACCGUCUCUCCGCCCUCGCCGACGACCUCCUGCAGCGCAUCCUGUCCUUCGCGCCGGCCAAGGAGGCCGCGGCCAGCGCUGCCCUCUCGCGCCGAUGGCGUCCGCUGUGGCGCCGCACGGGUGCCCUCAACCUCGACAGCAAGCCCUACCCCCGCCAAUACUCCUACGGGAACCGCCACGACCCCUACGACGACUUCUUCCGCCACGGCAUGGCCGCCCUCGGCUGCCGCCGCGAAACGGCGCUCAAGAGGCUCACGCUCUACCUCGGGAUGGACGCCUACCUCGUUGGUGGCAAGUACUACAGCUCCCACGACGGGGAUCCGGAGUUCGAUGCCCGGGUCACCGGCCUCCUCGUCGACCCCGCUGCGGCCGCGCUGGAGGAGCUCCGCAUCGCUGCUGAGCCCUCCUACCGAAAUUCCUACGUAGCGCCGCUGGCCUCCCUGCCGUGCGCCACCACGACGCUCCGGGUUCUGGAGCUCGACUCCUGCGACCUCGAGCCGUCCGCGCGGCUCGCUUUUCCUUUGCUCACGGAUCUCACGCUGCGCAACUGCACUUACGUCGUGGGAUAUCUGCAGGUCGUGCUCGAUGCCGCCCCAGCGCUAAUCAGACUUGCGCUGGUGAACGUCACUAAUAAGCCGCCAAAGCCGCCGGCUUCCGAGAAGGAUCGCUACUAUACACCCAAGACUUUCAACCUGCCCCUCUGCCUCCGCUGCCCGACGGUCACCGCCUUGGUGCUCGAGACCACCGUCUCCGGGGAAGAGCUCGACGAUUCCCGCAACAUCGGCAUACAGCUCGACAUGCCGAGCCUAUGCUCCUUCCGCUACAAGGGGUUCCCCUUCAAGCUCUCGCUGACAUCGCCGGCGCCGGGGCUGGCACAAGUCCACCUCGACACCAACCACAGCGAGAGAGGUGUCUACAAGUGCGAGCCCACCGCGCGCGCUCUCGGCAGCUUCUCCAGCACGAGGGCCCUGAAGCUGCACCUCAAGAAGAUCGAGAACAUAUUCUCCCAUAACGCAUCAAGCAGCUACAGGUAUCAGGGUUCCACCGGCAACCAAGACCCCGACGAGGAGGUCACCCUGCCGAACUUCCCGAACCUGAAGCUCCUCGAAAUAGACGCAGAAUUCAACUACAGGGACAGCAACACGGCGUUGGCGUUGGCGAUGCUGCUCCACUCAUGCCCGGCAAUGUCGGAGCUCCGACUCAGGCUAAACAUGACAUGGGACUACGACUACGAUCGCAAGACCGAGAAACAGGCCGCCGGAGGCCCCUUCGCCCAGUCUGUGGAAAGGUUCAGCAGGCUCGGUUCCAUGUGCGCAGAACACCGGGACGACGUGGAGCUCGGCGGGGUCUCGGAGCUCCCGGCCGCCUUCGCCAACAACUCCGCGUUCAGCUGCCUGAGGACGUGCUUACGGAAGGUGACGCUGCAAUUCAAGUCCAAGGAGCUCAACUGCUUCCAGGUGCAGCUGGCCAAGUUCCUCGUGGAAAACGCCAUGGUACUCGAGGAGAUGCACGUCGAGGAUGGGGACCAAUUCUGGCCAGACCACCUCUUCGACAAGCUCACGAGAUGGAGGACCGACGCGUUCCGGAGGAGGAACCUAUCGGACACGACCGGUUUUCAGGUGUUCCAGCUA
Molecule: ribosomal RNA, 1644 nt
Filed under: Triticum aestivum (bread wheat)
Lineage: Eukaryota; Viridiplantae; Streptophyta; Magnoliopsida; Poales; Poaceae
Description: partial small subunit ribosomal RNA
Source: RNAcentral